Molecule: ribosomal RNA, 490 nt
Filed under: uncultured bacterium
Lineage: Bacteria
Description: bacterial SSU rRNA
Rfam family: Bacterial small subunit ribosomal RNA
Source: RNAcentral
AGUGAACGCUGGCGGCAGGCCUAACACAUGCAAGUCGAACGGCAGCACGGCAGUAGCAAUACUGUGGGUGGCGAGUGGCGGACGGGUGAGGAAUACAUCGGGAUCUACCCUGUUGUGGGGGAUAACGUAGGGAAACUUACGCUAAUACCGCAUAAGAACUGAGGUUGAAAGCGGCGGACCGCAAGGCGUCGCGCGAUUGGAUGAACCGAUGUCCGAUUAGCUAGUUGGCGGGGUAAAGGCCCACCAAGGCGACGAUCGGUAGCUGGUCUGAGAGGACGACCAGCCACACUGGAACUGAGACACGGUCCAGACUCCUACGGGAGGCAGCAGUGGGGAAUAUUGCGCAAUGGGGGAAACCCUGACGCAGCCACGCCGCGUGAGUGAUGAAGGCCUUCGGGUUGUAAAGCUCUGUCGGGAGGGACGAAGGGGAAACCCUGACGGUACCUCGCAAGAAAGCACCGGCUAACUCUGUGCCAGCAGCCGCGGUAAU